Long non-coding RNA from Prinia subflava (tawny-flanked prinia), 425 nucleotides. RefSeq lists it as uncharacterized. The record is from RefSeq and is a predicted model, not a curated record. The transcript is spliced from 4 exons. NCBI's taxonomy places the organism in Eukaryota, Metazoa, Chordata, Aves, Passeriformes, Cisticolidae.
CAGGGAACGGGGCUCACCAGGUACCCGAAGUGGAUGUCGGAGAUCUUGGCCUGCACCACCGACCACAGACCCCAGAAAAAGUGUGAGGCCAGGGCAAAGCUGGGCACAGAAAAACAGCGGGUGCCCCCGUCCCCCCGUACCGGUCGAUCUCCCGCAGCAUCUCCUCCUCGAGCCGCUGCUGCUCCCGGGGGGAGCUGGGCCCCAAAGCCGAGGCCCCGGCCAGGUUGUAACCCCGGAGCUGCUCCAGCUGCUCCAGCUGUGCCUGCUCCGAGAAUGUCAGCUGGGAGAUCUGCUGCAGGCGGCCCUGAGCGAACACCCCGAAGAGGCGCGGGCCCAGCGCGCGCUCGGCCAGGAUGGCGAACAUGACGCUCUCCAGCACCAGCGAGUCCACGCCCUGCGGGGACAGGGACAGGGGAGCCCCAAAA